GCAUAUCAAUAAGCGGGAGGAAAAGAAACCAACAGGGAUUGCCUUAGUAACGGCGAGUGAAGCGGCAACAGCUCAAAUUUGAAAUCUGGACCUAGUCCCGAGUUGUAAUUUGCAGAGGAUGAUUUUGGCGCGGUGCCUUCCAAGUUCCCUGGGACGGGACGCCGGAGAGGGUGAGAGCCCCGUCAGGUUGGACACCAAGCCUAUGUAAAUCUCCUUCGACGAGUCGAGUAGUUUGGGAAUGCUGCUCUAAAUGGGAGGUAUAUGUCUUCUAAAGCUAAAUACCGGCCAGAGACCGAUAGCGCACAAGUAGAGUGAUCGAAAGAUGAAAAGCACUUUGGAAAGAGAGUUAAACAGCACGUGAAAUUGUUAAAAGGGAAGCGUUUACGACCAGACUUGUGCCGGUUGAUCAUCCAGCGUUCUCGCUGGUGCACUCUGCCGGCCCAGGCCAGCAUCAGUUCGCCGCGGGGGAUAAAGGCGUCGGGAAUGUGGCUCCCCCGGGAGUGUUAUAGCCCUUCGCGCAAUACCCUGAGGCGGACUGAGGUUCGCGCAUUCGCAAGGAUGCUGGCGUAAUGGUCGUCAACGACCCGUCUUGAAACACGGACCAAGGAGUCGUCUUCGUAUGCGAGUGUUCGGGUGUAAAACCCCUACGCGUAAUGAAAGUGAACGCAGGUGAGAGCUUCGGCGCAUCAUCGACCGAUCCUGAUGUUCUCGGAUGGAUUUGAGUAAGAGCAUACGGGGCCGGACCCGAAAGAAGGUGAACUAUGCCUGUAUAGGGUGAAGCCAGAGGAAACUCUGGUGGAGGCUCGCAGCGGUUCUGACGUGCAAAUCGAUCGUCAAAUAUGGGCAUGGGGGCGAAAGACUAAUCGAACCUUCUAGUAGCUGGGUUUCCGCCGAAGUC
RNAcentral lists this ribosomal RNA (898 nucleotides) under Amerosporium atrum. RNAcentral's name for it is "LSU rRNA". It matches the Rfam family "Eukaryotic large subunit ribosomal RNA", at positions 38 to 968 of the family's 3401-position model. Lineage: Eukaryota; Fungi; Ascomycota; Leotiomycetes; Helotiales; Sclerotiniaceae. The record is from RNAcentral.